Ictidomys tridecemlineatus (thirteen-lined ground squirrel) is the source of this 857-nucleotide non-coding RNA. The record is from RefSeq and is a predicted model, not a curated record. NCBI's taxonomy places the organism in Eukaryota, Metazoa, Chordata, Mammalia, Rodentia, Sciuridae.
UGCCUCACCGUGCUUGGCAAGCACUCUACCACUGAGCCCCAGCCCCAGCCCUGCCUUUUAGCUCUACUCCCUUGUGAGGCUGUAAACUCCCUUUAUGAUGUCUGCCCCUCUCACAUGGACCAGUGGAGUGGAGUGUGACAGCCAGUGAUUCUUACCUCUCUAGCCUGUUUUCCACCAUCCUACUUCUGGCAUCCUUAUCCUUUAGGAAAUUCCUCCCUGUAUCUUAAUGCUGGUGGGUUGUCAGUUCAAGUACCCACUACUUCCACCCAUCCCUAUCCCACCAUGACCAGGUAGGCAGGUAAUCCAGAAUGCACCAAUCACAGAACCCCAUCUUCUAGCAACAGUGAUUGGUCCAAGGGAUGAGCACAGAAUCCAAGGAAGACCAAUCGGACUCUUUCCCUGGGAUUGAUGAUCAGGUCCUGUCUUAUACCCAUCACCGUGAAGCCCUGGUCCAGAACAAGUACAGUGAUUGCCACAUUGCACUGUCACGGUGAAUGGCUGUCUCCCGCCAGACCUCAAGCUGCUGGAGGACAGGCAUUGGAUUAUGCUCCUUCAUGCCCUUAAAGGCCAGCAGAGUUGGCGGAUCGAUUGAACAAUUUGUCUCUGCGGGUUGAUUAUUCAAUUGAACAAGUUGUCUCUUCAGGUCAAAGUCUCUGACUGAACAAUUUGUCCCUAUGGGUCAAUUUUUUUUUUCCAAAAUCCAACAUUUUCCUGGAAACGUGGCUACUACUUCUAUUAUUGUGGUCUACAAAAAUGACCAUAAGUCAUAGAGAACCUGUCUAUUGCUAUUCCUGGAAUUUCAGAGCAUGCUAUGGUCAAUGCCUAUUAUUUCUUUCAUAAAGUAUGCAUUACUCUGA